GGAAGUUUAAGGCAAUAACAGGUCUGUGAUGCCCUUAGAUGUCCUGGGCUGCACGCGCGCUACACUGAUGCGUUCAUCGAGUUUAUCCUUGGCCGAGAGGCCUGGGUAAUCUUUAGUACGCAUCGUGAUGGGGAUCGAUUAUUGCAAUUGUUAAUCGUGAACGAGGAAUGCCUAGUAUGCGCAAGUCAUCAGCUUGUGCAGAUUACGUCCCUGCCCUUUGUACACACCGCCCGUCGCUCCUACCGAUCGAGUGAUC
This 256-nucleotide ribosomal RNA is filed under the name Theileria annulata. RNAcentral's name for it is "partial small subunit ribosomal RNA". It matches the Rfam family "Eukaryotic small subunit ribosomal RNA", at positions 1439 to 1698 of the family's 1831-position model. The record is from RNAcentral. Lineage: Eukaryota; Apicomplexa; Aconoidasida; Piroplasmida; Theileriidae.